Long non-coding RNA from Felis catus (domestic cat), 802 nucleotides. RefSeq lists it as uncharacterized. The record is from RefSeq and is a predicted model, not a curated record. The transcript is spliced from 3 exons. Lineage: Eukaryota; Metazoa; Chordata; Mammalia; Carnivora; Felidae.
UCUAGGAGGACCUCGUGGUGGAGAGAUUAAAGAGCUUCUACCAUCAUCCUCGUGGAGUCCAUUGGUCCCUGAAAAGAAGCAGAUGGGGAAGAAUGAUUCCACUCACCUCUGACUUUUCAGAAAUCCUAAGAUCUUGGGCUGUAACGAGGACCUCGCUGAUGAAACACAAGUUGUGAAAUUCUGACUAGCAUGAAGAUGGAUACCUCAGACAUCCCCUGAGAAUCAUGAAUACAAACAACUAUGAUCUAGCUGAGCCUUAUCUUUCAUCAAAAACAAGAGGAUCUCUCAGCACACCAAGAUUAGCUUUCUGAAAUCCUUCCUUCAGCAACCAGCAACUCCAGGAGCCUUCCUUCUUGUUGCUCAGAUUUACCUGACAAUUACUGGGGAAACUCUUCAUAAAACAAAUGCUUGAAUGUAGCCUAGCAUGUUGUGCCUGCCAAUGUAUGAUUUGGCUUUCAAAAUCUACCUCUUCCUCAUUCUUUGCUUAACUUAUUGUUCAUCUGUCUUAAACACUUCUAAAGAUCUUCUUGUACAUUUUUCUAGACUCUAGCCUCUAGAAGGCACAAGCUGUGCAUAAUCCUUGAGUUUGGCAGAAACCUCUGGUUCCAUUCACUUCCUGUAGAGGAAGAAUGAAACUAUUGUUCACACAAAAAUAUGUUAUGGCCAGUAGCCUAUUUUUUUAUGGCCCCAAAAAAGAAAUACAAUGAAACACGCUAGUGAAAGGUCCAAAAUGCCUUACUCUUAUUUUCAGACACUGAAAUUGGAUGGCUUAUUGCAUAUGAGUUCCAUUAUACUGUUUUAU